UCGAGAAUCAUUCGCAAUGGGCGAAAGCCUGACGAUGCGACGCCGUGUGAACGAUGAAGGCCUUCGGGUUGUAAAGUUCUUUCGCCUGGGAACAAGAGAGACUGACGAAUAAUCAGUUAAUUUGAGGGUACUAGGUAAAGAAGCACCGGCUAACUCCGUGCCAGCAGCUGCGGUAAUACGGAGGGUGCAAGCAUUAAUCGGAUUUAUUGGGCGUAAAGAGCGCGUAGGCGGGAAGGUAAGUCAGAUGUGA
Molecule: ribosomal RNA, 250 nt
Filed under: uncultured bacterium
Lineage: Bacteria
Description: partial 16S ribosomal RNA
Rfam family: Bacterial small subunit ribosomal RNA
Source: RNAcentral